This 253-nucleotide ribosomal RNA is filed under the name uncultured bacterium. Its description in RNAcentral is "partial 16S ribosomal RNA". It matches the Rfam family "Bacterial small subunit ribosomal RNA", at positions 524 to 776 of the family's 1533-position model. The record is from RNAcentral.
UACGUAGGGGGCAAGCGUUGUCCGGAUUCAUUGGGCGUAAAGAGCGUGUAGGCGGCCAGGUAGGUCGGUUGUGAAAACUGGAGGCUCAACCUUCAGAGGUCGACCGAAACCAUCUGGCUAGAGUCCGGGAGAGGAGAGUGGAAUUCCUGGUGUAGCGGUGAAAUGCGCAGAUAUCAGGAGGAACACCGGUGGCGAAGGCGGAUCUCUGGGCCUUACCUGACGCUGCGGCGCGAAAGCUAGGGGAGCAAACAGG